UCUCUCUCUCUCUCUCUAUGAACUGUCUGCAACAAAGAACCAUCCUAAUCCGCCACACAUCACCAUCUCCAUCUAGAUCCACCACACCAUCACACCGCCUCCAUCCAGAUCCGCCACACCAUACCACCACCUCCAUCUGAAUUGCCACACAACACCUCCGCCUCCAUCUAGAUCUGCGACAACCACCACCACCGAAAGAAAAAACGUUAUUGUACGGUGAAGAAAGUCAAGGAUGAACUUAUUUUGGAUGGAAAUGACAUUGAGCUUGUUUCCAAAUUGUGUGCCUUGAUUAACCAGAAAUGUCAUGUGAAGAACAAAGAUAUCAGAAAGUUUCUUGAUGGUAUUUAUGUCAGUAACAAGGCAAAGAUAGAUGCGGGUGACAAUUAGUCGGUGGUUGUUAAUGGUGAUGGGUGGUGGUCUUUGAGAGGAAGAGAGAUAGGUGGUGCUAGUGAGGUGUUUAGGUGGUCGUUGUGAUGGUGGCUUGGGUGGUGGCCGGAUGGUGGUUGGAAUGUCAUUGGUGAAGCUUUAGGCUAAAAGUUAGGGAGAAAGAGGGUGUUGACUUGAAAGAGCUAUAAUUGUACCCCACGCGCGUUGCGUUGCGGUUGCAUUACGUUGCGGUCCACAAUUUUUCGUAAACGCUCAAGGAGUCCUUUCACCUGUCAUUUUUAAGGUAAGAAAUACAAACUAUGCGUAAGCAAUUAAAACGCAAGGCUGUUAACCGCUUAAAAAGCCAAAGCAACCCAUCCACCACUAAAAACAUACCUAAAAACCUAAGGAGAUAAUAAAGAACAUUUUAUUAAAUAUUUUGAAUGAGCGGCUAAGAAUCAUCGCUGCAACUACUUGCUUCUUUCAAGCCACCUCAGUUGCCAAGCCAAGAAUAACGCAUCAUGGUUGCCAAUACAAUAGAAUAUACAAUCAAAGUAAACAGAAAUCUCUAAUAAGCACUUGAUCUCCACCAUCGAACGAAAAAGAAUUGAGGACUUAUACAUAGAGACUAUACAGUAGUAUACAACAUAUAGCCAUUAAAAUAGCCAUUUUCGUAGAACCCAAUGUUUAAAAACCCGGUUUUUAAAUCAUACCGGGUUGGGCUCUGAAAUGGUACAACCAGUUAAACCGGGUUGUACCAGACGGUUCAACCGGAUUACUAGUUAACCCUAUAAUUCCAUACAAUACAUAUUUAUCUAAAAAGUAAUCCAAUCUCGGUUAGGAUUUAUGUUAACGGUCAUGGUUUUAUCUAAAAACAACUAUUUUUUUGUAAGAUAUUAAGCAUUUUAAGAGAAUUUUUAUUACUUAUAAACAAUAUUACAAUGUACGGGGUGGGUAACAGUUUCAAUAGUGAUGGAAUAUUGGGAUGGAAGGCACUAAGUUAAUUACCGGAUAUAUGGAAGGCUAGUUUUACGUUAAUAUCGUAUUUUAUUAAAAUUAAAAAACCAAAUUUUAAGAUAAUGCAAAUCGGUUCAACGGUUUGAACCGGUAGAAUCGGAUUUACCACCGGUACAUAAGACAUAUCGUAUUGGGGUUUUACCGGCCUUUAUCAUAUCGGGCCCGUGUCUGAUACACGAUUUAACUGGUAUAACCAGCCAGUUUAUACCGGUAUUUAAAUCAUUGGUCUAACCUGUUCAAACUAAAAUGAGAUAGA
This 1639-nucleotide long non-coding RNA is filed under the name Helianthus annuus (common sunflower). Its description in RNAcentral is "hypothetical non coding rna". The record is from RNAcentral. Lineage: Eukaryota; Viridiplantae; Streptophyta; Magnoliopsida; Asterales; Asteraceae.